GCUGUCCUAGUUUAUACUUAAAACGAUGUGUUGUGGUCACAUAGAGAAACUUUUUGUUUGGGCGGUA
This 67-nucleotide transfer RNA is filed under the name Kuphus polythalamius. RNAcentral describes it as "tRNA-His". Lineage: Eukaryota; Metazoa; Mollusca; Bivalvia; Myida; Teredinidae. The record is from RNAcentral.